AUGAUAUGUUACAGAAAUUAACAAUUUCCAGGCCAUCACCGCUCAUGUCAUAUGGAACCACUUUACAUGUAAAUGUCUUCUGAAUAAAGCAUUGAAAUUCGAAGACAGCCACAAGCACAACAUUAUAGCCUGCCUAUCAAAAUUAUCACAAGCCCAAAAGUGAAACAAGGAAAGAAGUACAACUCAAGAAAUUGAGAAGCUGUAAGCAGAUUGCCUCAUAAAAGUAGCCAAAAAAAAAAAAA
Molecule: long non-coding RNA, 242 nt
Organism: Dioscorea cayenensis subsp. rotundata (Guinea yam)
Lineage: Eukaryota; Viridiplantae; Streptophyta; Magnoliopsida; Dioscoreales; Dioscoreaceae
Exons: 2
Source: RefSeq, a predicted model, not a curated record